UGUUGGGUUAAGUCCCGUAACGAGCGCAACCCUUGUCCUUAGUUACCAGCACGUUAUAGUGGGCACGUCUAAGGAGACUGCCGGUGACAACCGGAGGAAGGUGGGGAUGACGUCAAGUCAUCAUGGCCCUUACGGCCUGGGCUACACACGUGCUACAAUGGUCGGUACAAAGGGUUGCCAAGCCGCGAGGUGGAGCUAAUCCCAUAAAACCGAUCGUAGUCCGGAUCGCAGUCUGCAACUCGACUGCGUGAAGUCGGAAUCGCUGGUAAUCGUGAAUCAGAAUGUCACGGUGAAUACGUUCCCGGGCCUU
RNAcentral lists this ribosomal RNA (310 nucleotides) under uncultured Pseudomonas sp. Its description in RNAcentral is "bacterial SSU rRNA". It matches the Rfam family "Bacterial small subunit ribosomal RNA", at positions 1073 to 1382 of the family's 1533-position model. Lineage: Bacteria; Pseudomonadati; Pseudomonadota; Gammaproteobacteria; Pseudomonadales; Pseudomonadaceae. The record is from RNAcentral.